RNA transcript from Beta vulgaris subsp. vulgaris (sugar beet), 2886 nucleotides. It is a transcript of the gene named ABC transporter B family member 26, chloroplastic, with no coding region annotated. Lineage: Eukaryota; Viridiplantae; Streptophyta; Magnoliopsida; Caryophyllales; Amaranthaceae. The record is from RefSeq and is a predicted model, not a curated record. The transcript is spliced from 18 exons.
UAUACACGACAUCAACUCCCUCACAAACUCAUAGCUCAUCUCAUCAUUCAUCAAUGGCUCUCUCUACUUUCACUCUUCCUCUCCGCCCAAACCUAAACCCUCAAAUAUUCUCUCUCCACCUCACUCCACAACCUUACCUUCCCCUUUCCCUUGCUCCCUGGAGUUUUCGCCGGCGCCGGCGAGUUAUUCUCGUAAAAUCGGCGUCGACUAAUCGACGAGUUAUUCUCGUAAAAUCGGCAUCGAUUAACGGAAUUUCAGUUGCUAAUAAUCCAGAGAAACAAGAAAUUGCAGAAACCGUUGAGUUAGGAGAGAGAAUUCGAAGGAAUUUUGAAGCUUUGCGGUCGAUUUUGCCCGGAGGAAAAUGGUGGAGAUUGGCUGAUCAUGAAGUCGAUAUCGACGUUACGGCGAAACCGGUUACGGUUUGGAAUGCUCUUCAUCGGAUGUGGAAAUUGGUUUCAAAUGAUCGUUGGGUCAUUUUUGCUGCCUUUUCUGCUCUAAUUAUCACUGCGCUUGCGGAGAUCUCUAUACCACACUUCUUGACAGCAUCAAUUUUUUCAGCACAGAGUGGCAAAGUCAUGGUCUUCCGUCGAAAUGUGGGUUUUUUGAUGGGUUUUUGCAUCACUGCAGGAAUAUGCAGUGGCAUAAGAGGAGGCUGUUUCAGCAUUGCAAAUAUGAUCCUUGUCAAGAGAAUGAGGGAAACGUUGUAUUCGUCUCUCAUGCUUCAGGACAUAUCUUUUUUUGAUGCAACAACAGUGGGUGAUCUUACUAGCAGGCUUGGGGCCGAUUGUCAGCAAGUGUCUCGUGUGAUUGGAAAUGAUCUUAAUCUGAUAUCACGCAAUAUACUGCAGGGCACUGGUGCCUUGAUCUAUCUGCUAAUUUUAUCAUGGCCGCUUGGUUUGUGCACCUUAGCAAUAUGCAUCACACUUUCAUCAAUUAUGGUAAUUUAUGGCCAGUACCAGAAGAAGGCAGCAAAGUUGACCCAGGAGUUCACUGCUUCUGCAAAUGAAGUUUCUCAAGAGACAUUGUCGUUGAUGCGAACUGUUAGAGUUUAUGGCACAGAAUUGCAAGAGUUAGGAAGGUAUGAGGUUUGGCUGGAAAGAUUAGCUGGUAUCAGCUUACGACAAAGUGCUGCCUACGGACUCUGGAAUGUCAGCUUCAAUACUCUGUAUCACUCAACUCAGAUUAUUGCUGUGCUAAUUGGGGGAAUGUCUAUUCUAUCUGGCCAUCUGUCAGCCGAACAACUCACCAAGUUUCUGUUAUAUAGUGAAUGGCUAAUCUAUUCAACAUGGUGGAUAGGAGAUAAUGUGUCAUCAUUAAUGCAGUCUGUGGGAGCAAGUGAGAAAGUAUUUCAGUUGAUGGAUCUCUUGCCUAGUGAACAGUUCAUCUCUGAAGGAUUAAAACUGCAGAAAUUGACUGGGCAUAUUGAUUUUGUGAAUGUCUCCUUUUCAUAUCCAACAAGGACCGAGGUACCUGUAGUACAAGAUAUAACUAUUUCUAUGCAUCCCAACGAAGUAAUUGCUAUUGUUGGUCUUAGUGGCAGUGGUAAAAGCACAAUUGUGAAUCUUCUUCUACGUCUUUAUGAGCCAACUGGUGGUGAGAUACUAAUUGAUGGCUCCCCUUUGAAGAAUUUAGACACUCAAUGGUUCAGAGAAAGGAUUGGAUAUGUGGGCCAGGAACCUCGGCUUUUUAGAACGGACAUAAGUUCAAAUAUAAGAUACGGGUGUCCCAGAGAGGUUACGCACGAGGAUGUUGAGUGGGCUGCUAAGCAAGCCUUUGCUCAUGACUUCAUCUCUUCUUUGCCGAAUGGUUACAAUACGAUUGUUGAUGAUGAUUUGCUCAGUGGUGGGCAGAAACAGAGGAUUGCUAUUGCUCGAGCUGUUCUUAGGGAUCCAACCAUUUUGAUCCUUGAUGAAGCUACUAGUGCCUUGGAUGCAGAAAGCGAACACAAUAUCAAGGGCGUUCUACGAGCAGUAAAAAAUGACACACAAUCAAGAAGAACUGUCAUAGUAAUUGCACAUAGGCUUUCUACAAUACAAGCUGCAGACAGAAUAGUCGUGAUGAAUGGUGGUAAGAUUGUUGAGGUAGGUUUUAUCAUAGAAGAUGUCCGAUGCUCUUUAUACGCAGGCCUCAGUUCUGAAGCUUUCAUAUGAGUAAUUAACUUAUUGGCAGUUGGCAUUAUAUAACAAAAUUUCCCAACUUAUUAUAGUAGCAAGUUGAUGAGAAUAUGAGAUGAAGCUAGAAUCCUAAACUUUCUAGUUCAGGUUGUUGUAUAGGCAACAGUAGAUGGGUAGUCACAAGGAGCUUCUUCUUAAAGAUGGCUUGUAUGCAAGAUUAACUCGGAGACAAGAAGAUGCUGUGGCUUGAAACGUGGAGCAAUUUCACGACUCUUGCUUGCUACUACAAAUUCCAGAUUAUGCUCUGAGGUUUUAUCUUAACAGUAGUCUCUGCAGCAGUAACUUGGACAUUGAAGCAAAUUAUUUGGCUGCUGACCUCCAAGUUCGACGGCUGUCAAAUUUUAUAGAACAGAACAACAAAGAAACAGGGCUUUGACAGGUCAAUACUGGCGAUCAUAGGUCGUCAACAUGGCUUGCAGACGCAGCUCAAUUUUUGGAGUAGCUGCAGCAUACUGAUGUUUCCUGUCCAUUCUUUCAUCUUGAUGCACCAAAAUUUGAUAACCUGUAAGUAGGCAAUGUACGGUGCAACUUUUCAAUGGUGUACAUGGUUUUUUGGUUGUUCAUUCUUACUUUGUACAAUUGUACCCUCUACCUUUUGACUAUGGUGCAUAUCACACAAAAAUAGGGCCUUUGGUUAGAUGCUUUAGCUUUUUUUGUAUGGUCAAACCAACAAGAAAAACAUGUUCGUAAAUUGGGCUUCUUUUUUUUUUUU